AGUGAACGCUGGCGGUAGGCCUAACACAUGCAAGUCGAACGGCAGCACAGUAAGAGCUUGCUCUUACGGGUGGCGAGUGGCGGACGGGUGAGGAAUACAUCGGAAUCUACUUUUUCGUGGGGGAUAACGUAGGGAACCUUACGCUAAUACCGCAUACGACCUACGGGUGAAAGCAGGGGAUCUUCGGACCUUGCGCGAUUGAAUGAGCCGAUGUCGGAUUAGCUAGUUGGCGGGGUAAAGGCCCACCAAGGCGACGAUCCGUAGCUGGUCUGAGAGGAUGAUCAGCCACACUGGAACUGAGACACGGUCCAGACUCCUACGGGAGGCAGCAGUGGGGAAUAUUGGACAAUGGGCGAAAGCCUGAUCCAGCCAUACCGCGUGGGUGAAGAAGGCCUUCGGGUUGUAAAGCCCUUUUGUUGGGAAAGAAAAGCAGCAGGUUAAUACCCCGCUGUUCUGACGGUACCCAAAGAAUAAGCACCGGCUAACUUCGUG
Molecule: ribosomal RNA, 492 nt
Filed under: uncultured bacterium
Lineage: Bacteria
Description: partial 16S ribosomal RNA
Rfam family: Bacterial small subunit ribosomal RNA
Source: RNAcentral